RNAcentral lists this transfer RNA (69 nucleotides) under Methylobacterium sp. WL122. RNAcentral's name for it is "tRNA-Met". Lineage: Bacteria; Pseudomonadati; Pseudomonadota; Alphaproteobacteria; Hyphomicrobiales; Methylobacteriaceae. The record is from RNAcentral.
GGCGGGGGAGCCUAGACACUUGGAAUCAUAAUCCUCGUGUCGGGGGUUCGAGUCCCUCUCCCGCUACCA